RNAcentral lists this non-coding RNA (30 nucleotides) under Rattus norvegicus (Norway rat). The record is from RNAcentral. Lineage: Eukaryota; Metazoa; Chordata; Mammalia; Rodentia; Muridae.
UGACUUGUCAGCGUCCUCAACGCCCUUGCA